Molecule: ribosomal RNA, 386 nt
Filed under: Chrysophyceae sp.
Lineage: Eukaryota; Chrysophyceae
Description: partial small subunit ribosomal RNA
Rfam family: Eukaryotic small subunit ribosomal RNA
Source: RNAcentral
AUUCCAGCUCCAAUAGCGUAUAUUAAAGUUGUUGCAGUUAAAACGCUCGUGGUCGGAUUUCAGGGCGGGCCGACCGGUCUGCCGAUGGGUAUGCACUGGCCGGCGCGUCCAUCCUCGGGGAAAACAUGUCUGUGAUUCAGUUCAUGGGCAUGGGAUCCUCGUCAUUUACUGUGAGCAAAAUAGAGUGUUCAAAGCAGGCUUAUGCCGUUGAAUAUUUUAGCAUGGAAUAAUAAGAUAAGACCUUGGUCUAUUUUGUUGGUUUGUACUCCAAGGUAAUGAUUAAUAGGGACAGUUGGGGGUAUUCGUAUUCAAUUGUCAGAGGUGAAAUUCUUGGAUUUAUUGAAGACGAACUACUGCGAAAGCAUUUACCAAGGAUGUUUUCAUCA